CCUACGGGAGGCUGCAGUGGGGAAUCUUUGACAAUGGACGCAAGUCUGACCCAGCAACGCCGCGUGAGGGAAGAAGGCUCUCCGGUUGUAAACUCCCUGUAAGGGGGAAGAGCAGAAGACGGUACCCCUUGAAUAAGCCACGGCUAACUACGUGCCAGCAGCCGCCGUCAUACGUAGGUGGCAAUCGUUGUCUGGAGUUACUGGGUGUAAAGGGCGUGCAGCCGGAGAGGAAAGUCAGUGGUGAAAUCCACGGGCUCAACCCGUGGACGGCAUUUGAAACUGUUUCCCUUGAGUGUCGGAGAGGUAAUCGGAAUUCCUGGUGUAGCGGUGAAAUGCGUAGAUAUCAGGAGGAACACCAGUGGCGAAGGCGGAUUACUGGACGAUAACUGACGGUGAGGCGCGAAAGCGAGGGGAGCGAACAGGAUUAGAUACCCGAGUAGUC
This 442-nucleotide ribosomal RNA is filed under the name uncultured bacterium. RNAcentral describes it as "partial 16S ribosomal RNA". It matches the Rfam family "Bacterial small subunit ribosomal RNA", at positions 338 to 795 of the family's 1533-position model. The record is from RNAcentral.